Molecule: unclassified non-coding RNA, 383 nt
Filed under: fungal sp.
Lineage: Eukaryota; Fungi
Description: partial internal transcribed spacer region
Rfam family: Eukaryotic small subunit ribosomal RNA (bases 1-46)
Source: RNAcentral
AAGUCGUAACAAGGUUUCCGUAGGUGAACCUGCGGAAGGAUCAUUAUCCUAUAGCUUAGUAUGCAAAUACUAAAAGCGCAUGCACCAAUGUGUUGCGUAAAAAUGCACAGCGGCCCGUGCCUCGCCACGACCGCUCUUCAAAUCCAGGCCUGCUCGGGUCUGGUCGGGUACCUAGGUACGCAAGUACACCAAGCGGCCGACCCUAGUGUCGACUGUGUGGCGUAAAGAUCAUUGAGCUGCCCUAUGCCCAAUGACGCCCGCUUAGCAAAAAAAUUUUAUACCAAUUAAUCACACUUAUUAUGUUGUAUGUGUAACGCACUAUCCAAGUACUAUUACUGGGAUAUUAACACAAAUACAACCCUAUGCGGUGGAUCAUUUGGCUC